RNAcentral lists this ribosomal RNA (264 nucleotides) under uncultured bacterium. Its description in RNAcentral is "partial 16S ribosomal RNA". It matches the Rfam family "Bacterial small subunit ribosomal RNA", at positions 91 to 354 of the family's 1533-position model. The record is from RNAcentral.
AUUAGUGGCGGACGGGUGAGUAACGCGUGGAUAACCUGCCGUAUACAGGGGGAUAACACUUAGAAAUAGGUGCUAAUACCGCAUAAGCGCACGGUUCCGCAUGGAACAGUGUGAAAAACUCCGGUGGUAUACGAUGGAUCCGCGUCUGAUUAGCCAGUUGGCGGGGUAACGGCCCACCAAAGCGACGAUCAGUAGCCGGCCUGAGAGGGUGAACGGCCCACAUUGGGACUGAGACACGGCCCAAACUCCUACGGGAGGCAGCAG